GACGAACGCUGGCGGCGUGCUUAACACAUGCAAGUCGAACGGCAAGGCACUGCUUUUGUGGGGUGCUCGAGUGGCGAACGGGUGAGUAACACGUGAGUAACCUGCUCUUGACUUUGGGAUAACUUCAGGAAACUGGGGCUACUCCCGGAUAGGAGCUCCUGCUGGAUUGUGGGGGUUGGAACUUCGCGGCGGUUGGGGAUGGACUCGCGGCUUAAGAGCUUGUUGGUGGGGUAGUGGAUGACCAAGGGUUUGACGGAUCACCGGCCUGAGAGGGUGACCGGCGACAUGGGGACUGCGAGACGGCCCAGACGGCUACGGGGGGCAGUAGGGGGGAAUAUUGCCCAAUGGGCGGAAGUCUGAGGCAGCAACGCCGCGUGCGGGAUGACGGCCUUCGGGUUGUAAACCGCUUUCGCCUGUGACGAAGCGGGAGUGACGGUAAUGAGUAAAGAAGCACCGGCUAACUACGUG
Molecule: ribosomal RNA, 468 nt
Filed under: uncultured bacterium
Lineage: Bacteria
Description: partial 16S ribosomal RNA
Rfam family: Bacterial small subunit ribosomal RNA
Source: RNAcentral